Molecule: ribosomal RNA, 420 nt
Filed under: uncultured bacterium
Lineage: Bacteria
Description: bacterial SSU rRNA
Rfam family: Bacterial small subunit ribosomal RNA
Source: RNAcentral
AUAUUGCACAAUGGGCGCAAGCCUGAUGCAGCCAUGCCGCGUGUAUGAAGAAGGCCUUCGGGUUGUAAAGUACUUUCAGCGAGGAGGAAGGCGUUAAGGUUAAUAACCUUGGCGAUUGACGUUACUCGCAGAAGAAGCACCGGCUAACUUCGCGCCAUCAGCCGCGGUACUACGGAGGGUGCAAGCGUUCAUCGGAAUUACUGGGCGUAAAGCGCACGCAGGCGGUCUGUCAAGUCGGAUGUGAAAUCCCGGGGCUCAACCUGGGAACUGCAUUCGAAACUGGCAGGCUGGAGUCUUGUAGAGGGGGGUAGAAUUCCAGGUGUAGCGGUGAAAUGCGUAGAGAUCUGGAGGAAUACCGGUGGCGAAGGCGGCCCCCUGGACAAAGACUGACGCUCAGGUGCGAAAGCGUGGGGAGCAAAC